This 377-nucleotide long non-coding RNA is filed under the name Astyanax mexicanus (Mexican tetra). Its description in RNAcentral is "lncRNA (ENSAMXG00005013707.1)". Lineage: Eukaryota; Metazoa; Chordata; Actinopteri; Characiformes; Acestrorhamphidae. The record is from RNAcentral.
GGCCACACCAACACCAACACACACUCGCACAUCCUCCCUGCGGUGUUUUUCAUCAGAUCCUUGUCUCAGUAUCCGAUCGGGGUCUGAAACUCGCCGCUUGCCGCCCGCCACUCCAGCUGAACUGAGACUCGGCCCAUUAACGUCAGGCCAGCUUCCAGUCAUUUGACCCCCUGUCCUGCGCCCGGCCGAACAGAGGAGAAACACAAGCAUCCUGACCCCACCCCCCUACCAACGCAGUACUGGAACUUUUUAAGAUUGAGCAUGCGCUUAUACACCCCUCACCUAUGUGCCUACACUUGCACUGUCAUACCAACUUUUAAUAACUUCGUUUUAUAUUUUUAAUCUUAUUUUCUGUACUUGCCGUAAUUUUUGGGAAG